This 1780-nucleotide long non-coding RNA is filed under the name Anneissia japonica. RNAcentral describes it as "uncharacterized LOC117113706". Lineage: Eukaryota; Metazoa; Echinodermata; Crinoidea; Comatulida; Comatulidae. The record is from RNAcentral.
UAUAACAUAUCUAAUGCUUUCUAGUGUCUUAUUUCUUUAGGUAUGGAUAGCGAAGGUUUUUAUCAACCAGUAGACUUCCAAGAGAAUCAGAAUGCUCCCACUCAGUACGGUCAGACUUAUUCCUAGUGGAGGCGGGCAUUUCUACCAGCCAUCUAAACAGGGAUAUGCAGGCUAUGAGGGUACAGACACAUAAGGCAACCAGCAUACAAGCACUCUAGCUUCAAUGAAUGUAGAUCCUGGUGCCUCAAUUGGUAGUACCAUCAGCGAAUACAGUUCCACCACCACAGAAGCAGAGGGUGAUGCGGACUGGACGAACAGCAAUGCAUCUAAUUUUGAUUAUUAUGGAGCUACCACAUACAAUGCGACUUCCAAGAACAUUGACUCACCAAGCACAAUGCCAUCUACACCAAGUAACACAAUUACUCCUCCUGAAUCCCCAACCACAAGAACACUUUCACAGAGCUCAAGCAACAAAGGGUCAGCACCUACCCCUGUAGCGAAAGCAGAAACCUCAGCACAAACAUUCGGAGCUAAAUUCAACUGUGAAACCAAAGAGUGGUGGCAGUAGCUGGUUCCGUGGUCUUUUCAGUCGGUUUGGUGGUAAAAACGAUGUUCAUCUGCCAGAUGAUAGUGACAAAAUAAUUGAAUGGGAUGAAAAGAAGCAAAAAUAAGUGAAUAAAGAUAGCGAUGGAGAUAAUAAUGAUGGUAUAGUUGCACCCCCACCGAGUGAUUCGCAGCUGUCUCAAACUUCCCCUCCUAGUGCACUACCCCCCAACCUCUGCAUCUAGUGUUAAAAAAUUCUCAAAGAAACAUGCUGUCUCGUACUAGCUCCAUGAGUGACCUAUCCCAGGAGGUCAGUCAGCAUCUGGGCGGACAGGGACAGUCAAACCAAUGGGACUCAACAGCUUCAGCAGAGCCAGCCGUACCUGCGAUGCCGAUGAUGUUCAAUCCUCAGCAAUUCUCUCAACAGAGCUUCCAACCACCUAUGAUGCAACCAAGUCCCUCAACUUCUGGCCCGACCUCUAGAGCUUAUCGCCAACGAAGGCAGUACCCGACUCAGAAAUAACAAGAGAUGUCAAGUACACAAUGCCUUACUGUUAUGAACACUAGAUGACAAUGGGAUUAAUAUAUUAUUUAAAUAAUGAAAUAUAUAUAAAAGAACAUUCGAAAUGCUUCCAAAUUAAAAUUUUGAAUGAUUGUGUAAAUUAUAUUGAGUUCAGAAUAAAUUUACUAUGUACUGUAACAUUACAUAACAUAAGCUUCAAAUAUGAAUAAAUAAAAAACAAGCUAAUUAGGUUGUAGUAUUAUGGAAGGGAUUACAAUGCUUCAUUGUUUUUACAGUACAGUAAUAAGAUGUGGAGGUUUAGCAUUUUAGAAUUCAGUGGAGUAAACUGUUAUAUAUUUAUGAUAACUGAGUGAUAUCAUGUAGAGCCAAGAAUGGCUACAAUUUAAAUUUUGUUUGAAUCAAUUAAUUCUCAUUAAAUCUCUUAAUUAAAAAAAUUAUUCAUUGUAAGUGCACUGAACUUAACAUACGGACUCAUUUUCCAUUGUCUAUUUUUUUUAUUGUUAGAGACAGCGCUAAUUUGUAAUUCUUGGAUAUUGUUGCUGAGGCGAGACUUUUUUUAUACUCUGUUUAUAUUUUAAAGAUCGUCAGUGGAGGGUGGAAAAAAUAUAAAAUAAUAUAUUUUUUUCUUAUUUAGCAAAUAGUUUUCCCAAAUACAUCUAGACGAAGGUGGAUAUAUAAAUAUAAUUUUAUUGUUGAAUGUAAACAGUGUAGUAA